RNAcentral lists this ribosomal RNA (1371 nucleotides) under uncultured bacterium. RNAcentral describes it as "bacterial SSU rRNA". It matches the Rfam family "Bacterial small subunit ribosomal RNA", at positions 29 to 1391 of the family's 1533-position model. The record is from RNAcentral.
UUGAACGCUGGCGGUAUGCUUAACACAUGCAAGUCGAACGGAAACGAUACUAGCUUGCUAGUAGGCGUCGAGUGGCGGACGGGUGAGUAACGCGUAGGAAUCUGCCUGAUAGUGGGGGAUAGCCCGAAGAAAUUCGGAUUAAUACCGCAUAAUCUAUUCGUAGUAAAGUGGGGGACUUUCGAGCCUCACGCUAUCAGAUGAGCCUGCGUAAGAUUAGCUAGUUGGUAGGGUAAAAGCCUACCAAGGCAACGAUCUUUAGCUGGUCUGAGAGGAUGAUCAGCCACAUCGGGACUGAGACACGGCCCGAACUCCUACGGGAGGCAGCAGUGGGGAAUAUUGGACAAUGGGGGCAACCCUGAUCCAGCAAUACCGCGUGUGUGAAGAAGGCCUGAGGGUUGUAAAGCACUUUCAAUUGUGAAGAAAAGUUAACGGUUAAUAACCGUUAGCCUUGACGUUAACUUUAGAAGAAGCACCGGCUAACUCCGUGCCAGCAGCCGCGGUAAUACGGAGGGUGCAAGCGUUAAUCGGAAUUACUGGGCGUAAAGCGUGCGUAGGCGGUUUAUUAAGUCAGAUGUGAAAGCCCCGGGCUUAACCUGGGAACUGCAUUUGAAACUGGUCAACUAGAGUAUGGUAGAGGAAAGUGGAAUUUCUGGUGUAGCGGUGAAAUGCGUAGAUAUCAGAAGGAACAUCAAUGGCGAAGGCAGCUUUCUGGACCAAUACUGACGCUGAGGUACGAAAGCGUGGGUAGCAAACAGGAUUAGAUACCCUGGUAGUCCACGCCGUAAACGAUGAUAACUAGCCGUUGGGGGGAUUUACCCUUUAGUGGCGAAGCUAACGCGUUAAGUUAUCCGCCUGGGGAGUACGGCCGCAAGGUUAAAACUCAAAGGAAUUGACGGGGACCCGCACAAGCGGUGGAGCAUGUGGUUUAAUUCGAUGCAACGCGAAGAACCUUACCUGGUCUUGACAUCCUGCGAACUUUCUAGAAAUAGAUUGGUGCCUUCGGGAACGCAGUGACAGGUGCUGCAUGGCUGUCGUCAGCUCGUGUCGUGAGAUGUUGGGUUAAGUCCCGUAACGAGCGCAACCCCUAUCCUUAUUUGCCAGCACGUCAUGGUGGGAACUAUAAGGAGACUGCCGGUGAUAAACCGGAGGAAGGCGGGGACGACGUCAAGUCAUCAUGGCCCUUACGACCAGGGCUACACACGUGCUACAAUGGGAAGGACAAAGAGCCGCGAAGCCGCGAGGUGUAGCUAAUCUCAGAAACCUUUUCGUAGUCCGGAUUGGAGUCUGCAACUCGACUCCAUGAAGUCGGAAUCGCUAGUAAUCGUAGAUCAGAAUGCUACGGUGAAUACGUUCCCGGGUCUUGUACACACU